UGAAGACCCAUUUGACUUGUUAUUGAAGUUAUCUCCAUCUCUAUGCUAAUUCACAAAUACCUGUGUCUUAUGAAGCCAAGAUAAUCUUUUUAAAAAAAUUAAAGAAAAUAAAAAAAUGAAAAUGGUUGUCUCCUGAGAUUUCAUUAUUUUCUUAGUUUGCAUUUACACAGCCAGGUAGCAAUCGAGUUUUUGAAACCUCACAGAAAUCCUGGAUGUAUCACAAUUCGUGCUUAGCUAUCUGAUGUGGCUUGCAUGAAAAAGGUCUAUAUUUAAAUGGAAAUUUUCUCCUUAAUUUCAAAGUGCCAGCUUUGAAUGUGUUUCCGUUUGGUGUUUUUCUUUUUCAAAUUUUCUUUCUUUUGGUGGUGGGGAGGAGGGGAAGA
RNAcentral lists this unclassified non-coding RNA (380 nucleotides) under Hevea brasiliensis (rubber tree). The record is from RNAcentral. Lineage: Eukaryota; Viridiplantae; Streptophyta; Magnoliopsida; Malpighiales; Euphorbiaceae.